ACCCAGUCGUGGGGGAUAACGUAGCGAAAGUUACGCUAAUACCGCAUACGUCCUGAGGGAGAAAGCGGGGGACCGAAAGGCCUCGCGCGAUUGGAGCGGCCGAUGUCGGAUUAGCUAGUUGGUGGGGUAAAGGCCUACCAAGGCGACGAUCCGUAGCGGGUCUGAGAGGAUGAUCCGCCACACUGGGACUGAGACACGGCCCAGACUCCUACGGGAGGCAGCAGUGGGGAAUUUUGGACAAUGGGGGCAACCCUGAUCCAGCCAUGCCGCGUGAGUGAAGAAGGCCUUCGGGUUGUAAAGCUCUUUCCACGGAAAGAAAACGCCUCCGUGAAUACCCGAUGUGGAUGACGGUACCCGUAAGAAGAAUCACCCGCCAACUACGUGCCCGCAGCCGCGGUUAAUACCUAGGGUGCGAGCGUUUUUCCGAAUUUCUGGGCCUAAAGCCUGCGCAGGCCGUUAUUUUAGACAGAUGUGAAAACCCCCGGGCUCC
Molecule: ribosomal RNA, 490 nt
Filed under: uncultured bacterium
Lineage: Bacteria
Description: bacterial SSU rRNA
Rfam family: Bacterial small subunit ribosomal RNA
Source: RNAcentral